ACCAACCAAGAGAAAAGGCGGAUGGCUCAAUUCAAUAUGGAAAAUUGCACAAUAAAAGUUCCAGGACAUGAAGGCUGCAUACUGUGAACGUCAACCUUCAGGGCACCGUCCUGCGCAGAAGACUUUCUACCCUAAGAGGGAUGGCUGACCGCAGACACUCACAACCAGCACAGACGCCUCCAACCUCAGACUAGGCCCUUCACAGUUGCUGCACUUACCCACCUUCCCAGAGUUUUUGUGUGGUAAUGACAACUGUAAAUAUAGUAUAUAGUAAUGUAUCUAGUGUUUUGUGUAAUACAUUGUUUAAAUUGUCC
This is a long non-coding RNA of Engraulis encrasicolus (European anchovy), 314 nucleotides long. RefSeq lists it as uncharacterized. The record is from RefSeq and is a predicted model, not a curated record. The transcript is spliced from 3 exons. Lineage: Eukaryota; Metazoa; Chordata; Actinopteri; Clupeiformes; Engraulidae.